CUUGUGCAGAGAGAUCACGCAUCUCACGGCUUGACGAUCAAGGGGGCAAAGCCUCGGUCUUCAUAGAAAAGGAGAGGAGGCAAACGCAGCCCAAACUGGGGGGUUUCUCUUCAAAGCCAGCUGGUCUGGCUUUAUUCUACAGGAAUUUUUUUACCUGUCAGGGUUUGGACAACAAAGCCCUCAGCAGGUGCUGACGGGUACAACUUCCUGGAGAAGCAGAAAGGCACUGAGAAAACAUCUUGCUCUGUUGCUCAGGCUGGAGCGCAAUGGUGCCAUCGUAGCUUACUGUAACCUUGAACGUCUGUGCUCAAGCAAUCUUCCUGCCUCAGCCUCCUGAGUAGCUGGGACUACAGAGGUGCUGGUUACGUGGGAAUUUGAUUUGUCAAAACUGAUUGAAUGACACAGAAAUGUGGUGGCAGAUGUCUGUAAUCCCAGCUACUUGGGAGGCUGAAGCAGGGGAAUCACUUGAAUCUGGGAGGUGGAGGUUGCUGUGAGCCAAGAUCACACCACUGCACUCCAGCCUGGCAACAGAGCAAG
RNAcentral lists this long non-coding RNA (537 nucleotides) under Homo sapiens (human). Its description in RNAcentral is "HSALNT0341393". Lineage: Eukaryota; Metazoa; Chordata; Mammalia; Primates; Hominidae. The record is from RNAcentral.